Molecule: ribosomal RNA, 372 nt
Filed under: uncultured organism
Description: bacterial SSU rRNA
Rfam family: Bacterial small subunit ribosomal RNA
Source: RNAcentral
CAGAGGGUGCAAACGUUGCUCGGAAUCAUUGGGCGUAAAGCGCACGUAGGCGGCCUAGCAAGUAGGGAGUGAAAGCCCUCGGCUUAACCGAGGAAGUGCUUUCUAAACUACUAGGCUUGAAUACUGGAGAGGGUCGCGGAAUUCCCGGUGUAGAGGUGAAAUUCGUAGAUAUCGGGAGGAACACCGGUGGCGAAGGCGGCGACCUGGACAGAUAUUGACGCUGAGGUGCGAAAGCGUGGGGAGCAAACAGGAUUAAAUACCCUGGUAGUCCACGCCGUAAACGAUGAGUGCUAGAUGUCGCGGGUAUUGACCCCUGCGGCGUCGAAGUUAACGCAUUAAGCACUCCGCCUGGGGAGUACGGCCGCAAGGCUA